This 85-nucleotide transfer RNA is filed under the name Felis catus (domestic cat). It matches the Rfam family "tRNA". From Rfam's summary of the family: Transfer RNA (tRNA) molecules are approximately 80 nucleotides in length. Their secondary structure includes four short double-helical elements and three loops (D, anti-codon, and T loops). The record is from Rfam by way of RNAcentral. Lineage: Eukaryota; Metazoa; Chordata; Mammalia; Carnivora; Felidae.
GCCUGGGUGGCUCAGUCGGUUGAGCGUCCGACUUCAGCUCAGGUCACGAUCUCAUGGUCCGUGGGUUCGAGCCCCGUGUCAGGCU